RNAcentral lists this transfer RNA (73 nucleotides) under Torenia benthamiana. Its description in RNAcentral is "tRNA-Asn". It matches the Rfam family "tRNA". From Rfam's summary of the family: Transfer RNA (tRNA) molecules are approximately 80 nucleotides in length. Their secondary structure includes four short double-helical elements and three loops (D, anti-codon, and T loops). The record is from RNAcentral. Lineage: Eukaryota; Viridiplantae; Streptophyta; Magnoliopsida; Lamiales; Linderniaceae.
UCCUCAGUAGCUCAGUGGUAGAGCGGUCGAGUUGUUAACCGAUUGGUCGUAGGUUCGAAUCCUACUUGGGGAG